Ipomoea nil (Japanese morning glory) is the source of this 82-nucleotide transfer RNA. It matches the Rfam family "tRNA". From Rfam's summary of the family: Transfer RNA (tRNA) molecules are approximately 80 nucleotides in length. Their secondary structure includes four short double-helical elements and three loops (D, anti-codon, and T loops). Lineage: Eukaryota; Viridiplantae; Streptophyta; Magnoliopsida; Solanales; Convolvulaceae. The record is from Rfam.
GUUACUUUGGCCGAGUGGUUAAGGCGUGUGCCUGCUAAGUACAUCGGGUUUCCCCGUGAGAGUUCGAAUCUCUCAGGCAACG